GGAAUAUUGCACAAUGGGCGAAAGCCUGAUGCAGCGACGCCGCGUGGAGGAUGACGGCCUUAGGGUUGUAAACUCCUGUUAAGUGGGAAGAAAACGCAUCUUCUAAUAAAGGAUGUGUAUGACGGUACCACCAGAGAAAGCACCGGCUAACUUCGUGCCAGCAGCCGCGGUAAUACGAGGGGUGCAAGCGUUAUUCGGAAUAACUGGGCGUAAAGGGUGUGGAGACGGCUUAUUAAGCUUGCUGUUAAAUCCUCCGGCCUAACCGGAGAGCAGCGGUGAGAACUGAUGAGCUAGAGUGUGGAAGAGAGAAGUGGAAUUCCCGGAGUAGCGGUAAAAUGCGUAGAUCUCGGGAGGAACACCGAUGGCGAAGGCAGCUUCUUGGUCCAUUACUGACGUUGAGACACGAAAGCGUGGGGAGCAAAC
This 423-nucleotide ribosomal RNA is filed under the name uncultured bacterium. RNAcentral describes it as "bacterial SSU rRNA". It matches the Rfam family "Bacterial small subunit ribosomal RNA", at positions 358 to 773 of the family's 1533-position model. The record is from RNAcentral.